UACGUAGGGACCGAGCGUUGUCCGGAUUCAUUGGGCGUAAAGAGCUCGUAGGCGGCCACUCAAGUCGAAUGUGAAACCUCGAGGCUUAACCUCGAGCCUGCAUUCGAUACUGGGCGGCUAGAGUCUGGUAGGGGGAUCUGGAAUUCCUGGUGUAGCGGUGGAAUGCGCAGAUAUCAGGAGGAACACCGGUGGCGAAGGCGGUUCUCUGGGCAUUACCUGACGCUGAGGAGCGAAAGUGUGGGGAGCGAACAGG
RNAcentral lists this ribosomal RNA (253 nucleotides) under uncultured bacterium. RNAcentral describes it as "partial 16S ribosomal RNA". It matches the Rfam family "Bacterial small subunit ribosomal RNA", at positions 524 to 776 of the family's 1533-position model. The record is from RNAcentral.